Molecule: transfer RNA, 73 nt
Filed under: Clostridiaceae bacterium
Lineage: Bacteria; Bacillati; Bacillota; Clostridia; Eubacteriales; Clostridiaceae
Also listed under: 1 other name
Description: tRNA-Asp
Rfam family: tRNA
About the family: Transfer RNA (tRNA) molecules are approximately 80 nucleotides in length. Their secondary structure includes four short double-helical elements and three loops (D, anti-codon, and T loops).
Source: RNAcentral
GGUUUCGUAGUGAAGUGGUUACCACGCUUGCCUGUCACGCAAGAGAUCGCGGGUUCGAUCCCCGCCGGAACCG